This 878-nucleotide ribosomal RNA is filed under the name unidentified. RNAcentral's name for it is "Lactifluus tropicalis partial large subunit ribosomal RNA". It matches the Rfam family "Eukaryotic large subunit ribosomal RNA", at positions 78 to 926 of the family's 3401-position model. The record is from RNAcentral.
CCCUAGUAACUGCGAGUGAAGCGGGAAAAGCUCAAAUUUAAAAUCUGGCGGUCUUUGUCCGUCCGAGUUGUAAUUUAGAGAAGCGUCUUCCGCGCCGGACCGUGCACAAGUCUCCUGGAAUGGAGCGUCAUAGAGGGUGAGAAUCCCGUCUUUGGCAUGGAGCCCCCGGGGCUUCUGUGAUGCGCUCUCAAAGAGUCGAGUUGUUUGGGAAUGCAGCUCAAAAUGGGUGGUGAACUCCAUCUAAAGCUAAAUAUUGGCGAGAGACCGAUAGCGAACAAGUACCGUGAGGGAAAGAUGAAAAGCACUUUGGAAAGAGAGUGAAACAGUACGUGAAAUUGUUGAAAGGGAAACGCUUGGAGUCAGUCGCGUCGACCGAGACUCAGCCUCGCCUCGGCUUGGUGUACUUCUCGGCUUGACGGGCCAGCAUCAAUUUCAUCCUUUGGAUAAUGACGAGGGAAAGGUAGCACCCUUAUGGGUGUGUUAUAGUCUCUUGUCGCAUGCAAGGGGUGGGAUUGAGGAACUCAGCACGCGCCUUCUAGGUGUCGGGGCUUUUUGGCCCACGUUUUACGUGCUUAGGAUGCUGGCGUAAUGGCUUCAAACGACCCGUCUUGAAACACGGACCAAGGAGUCUAACAUGCCUGCAAGUGUUCGGGUGGAAAACCCGUGUGCGAAAUGAAAGUAAAAGUUGGGACCUCUGUCGUGGAGGGCACCGACGCCUGGACCAGACCUUCUGUGACGGAUCUACGGUAGAGCAUGCAUGUUGGGACCCGAAAGAUGGUGAACUAUGCCUGAAUAGGGUGAAGCCAGAGGAAACUCUGGUGGAGGCUCGUAGCGAUUCUGACGUGCAAAUCGAUCGUCAAAUUUGGGUAUAGGGGCGA